ACUCAUGAGAAAAAUUCUUUUAAUAAGUUAAAUAAUCUACCAGAGAAAGUAGUCAUUUUUCAAAAAUAUAAAGAAAGUAUUGACUCAAAACACACUCCUACAUCUGGCUGAAAAGUUUAGCUUUGUCUUAUUUAAAGUGUAAUAAGAUAUUUGCUUUAAAAACUCGGCCAAAAUACUUGGUAAAAUUUUGUGUAUUUGCAGUGCAGCUGCAGAAUGAGUCACAACAGGUCAUUUCCAAAGAUGCUGAUUGAGUACAGGGUGGCUAUCCAAGUAUAUUGAUAGAAAAUUUAGUGGAAGGAAAAACAGUGAUAUUCACAAGGACUUUGACUGAAUAUGUUGAAUUAGAUUUUGGGCUAAUUCAAAACGUAAAGUCUGAGAGUCUGAAUGAAGAGCGCAGAGGCUCAGAAUCCAGCCGUGUUGGAGUCCACUGGGUUUCUUCAAGUCAGCACAGGAGUUUACUUUUCUUCUGCUUUAACCAUCAAUAUCAACACAAUUAAAUGGUUGACAUUUGUCCCUUUGUGUCUAAUCUAUGUUAAAUACGAAUUUCCCUUUAAUUUAAUUACUGAAAUAAUCAAUUCCUUCUAUAAUAUUCUAAUUUACUGAGAUGCAUCUGUAUGUGCGUCACAAAAAUCAGAAAUUCUCUGAUCUGAACAAAAUGGACGGAUUUGAGCUGAAGUCGCUUGAUGUCGUACGGAAGAGGAAAAACAGUGAAAACCAAUCAGACGAGUAAGUCUGACAACCCUACAUUCAUAAAAAAAGAAAACAUAAUUCUGCUGCCUGUAAUCACAUCUCUGCCUCUGCUUGCAAGUUUUAAAGCAGCUGAUCCGUCUUCAGAUCAAAGCAACAAUCUGAAUGUUAAUUUCAGAGAGGAGAGACGUUAGCUCUGAUGUUUCUGUUGUUUCAUUCUUGCUGAGACAUAAAAGGAAUCACUGCGUUUAAUGGCAAGGUUAUUUUUGCAGUGAAGGAGGGGUGGGGGGGUAGAAAAGAGUGUAAAACAAAAUAACUCCGGAGGUGCCAUUUGUUGUGUUAAAGAAUCAGGAUUAAUAUCGUUAAUCGUUUGGUUGAGUCAGUGUCAAUACCCCGAAUUAGUGGAAAGAGGAGAAAAGCUGAGUGAACCCAGGGAGGGGAAAUGAACAAGCAGUACUGGCGGCGCUUCAAAUGGAAAAAAAAUAUAUAUAUAAAACUACCAGAAAAACAAUAA
Long non-coding RNA from Poecilia latipinna (sailfin molly), 1201 nucleotides. RefSeq lists it as uncharacterized. The record is from RefSeq and is a predicted model, not a curated record. Lineage: Eukaryota; Metazoa; Chordata; Actinopteri; Cyprinodontiformes; Poeciliidae. The transcript has 2 exons.